This 27-nucleotide small RNA is filed under the name Bombyx mori (domestic silkworm). RNAcentral describes it as "ovarian small RNA-8072". The record is from RNAcentral. Lineage: Eukaryota; Metazoa; Arthropoda; Insecta; Lepidoptera; Bombycidae.
UGACAGUUACGGGAAGAGUGCCCAUAC